This 1372-nucleotide ribosomal RNA is filed under the name uncultured bacterium. RNAcentral describes it as "bacterial SSU rRNA". It matches the Rfam family "Bacterial small subunit ribosomal RNA", at positions 28 to 1381 of the family's 1533-position model. The record is from RNAcentral.
GAUGAACGCUGGCGGCGUGCCUAAUACAUGCAAGUCGAGCGAACGGACGAGAAGCUUGCUUCUCUGAUGUUAGCGGCGGACGGGUGAGUAACACGUGGAUAACCUACCUAUAAGACUGGGAUAACUUCGGGAAACCGGAGCUAAUACCGGAUAAUAUUUUGAACCGCAUGGUUCAAAAGUGAAAGACGGUCUUGCUGUCACCUAUAGAUGGAUCCGCGCUGCAUUAGCUAGUUGGUAAGGUAACGGCUUACCAAGGCAACGAUGCAUAGCCGACCUGAGAGGGUGAUCGGCCACACUGGAACUGAGACACGGUCCAGACUCCUACGGGAGGCAGCAGUAGGGAAUCUUCCGCAAUGGGCGAAAGCCUGACGGAGCAACGCCGCGUGAGUGAUGAAGGUCUUCGGAUCGUAAAACUCUGUUAUUAGGGAAGAACAUAUGUGUAAGUAACUGUGCACAUCUUGACGGUACCUAAUCAGAAAGCCACGGCUAACUACGUGCCAGCAGCCGCGGUAAUACGUAGGUGGCAAGCGUUAUCCGGAAUUAUUGGGCGUAAAGCGCGCGUAGGCGGUUUUUUAAGUCUGAUGUGAAAGCCCACGGCUCACCCGUGGAGGGUCAUUGGAAACUGGAAAACUUGAGUGCAGAAGAGGAAAGUGGAAUUCCAUGUGUAGCGGUGAAAUGCGCAGAGAUAUGGAGGAACACCAGUGGCGAAGGCGACUUUCUGGUCUGUAACUGACGCUGAUGUGCGAAAGCGUGGGGAUCAAACAGGAUUAGAUACCCUGGUAGUCCACGCCGUAAACGAUGAGUGCUAAGUGUUAGGGGGUUUCCGCCCCUUAGUGCUGCAGCUAACGCAUUAAGCACUCCGCCUGGGGAGUACGACCGCAAGGUUGAAACUCAAAGGAAUUGACGGGGACCCGCACAAGCGGUGGAGCAUGUGGUUUAAUUCGAAGCAACGCGAAGAACCUUACCAAAUCUUGACAUCCUUUGACAACUCUAGAGAUAGAGCCUUCCCCUUCGGGGGACAAAGUGACAGGUGGUGCAUGGUUGUCGUCAGCUCGUGUCGUGGGAUGUUGGGUUAAGUCCCGCAACGAGCGCAACCCUUAAGCUUAGUUGCCAUCAUUAAGUUGGGCACUCUAAGUUGACUGCCGGUGACAAACCGGAGGAAGGUGGGGAUGACGUCAAAUCAUCAUGCCCCUUAUGAUUUGGGCUACACACGUGCUACAAUGGACAAUACAAAGGGCAGCGAAACCGCGAGGUCAAGCAAAUCCCAUAAAGUUGUUCUCAGUUCGGAUUGUAGUCUGCAACUCGACUACAUGAAGCUGGAAUCGCUAGUAAUCGUAGAUCAGCAUGCUACGGUGAAUACGUUCCCGGGUCU